CAGGAUAUAGCUAAGACAAAUAUAGCAGCUCUCUUACACUGAGCAGUCAUUCGUGCAAAUCGAAUUAUCCUGA
Molecule: transfer RNA, 73 nt
Filed under: Bahaba taipingensis (Chinese bahaba)
Lineage: Eukaryota; Metazoa; Chordata; Actinopteri; Sciaenidae
Description: tRNA-Val
Rfam family: tRNA
About the family: Transfer RNA (tRNA) molecules are approximately 80 nucleotides in length. Their secondary structure includes four short double-helical elements and three loops (D, anti-codon, and T loops). Further hydrogen bonds mediate the characteristic L-shaped molecular structure. tRNAs have two regions of fundamental functional importance: the anti-codon, which is responsible for specific mRNA codon recognition, and the 3' end, to which the tRNAs corresponding amino acid is attached (by aminoacyl-tRNA synthetases). tRNAs cope with the degeneracy of the genetic code in two manners: having more than one tRNA (with a specific anti-codon) for a particular amino acid; and 'wobble' base-pairing, i.e. permitting non-standard base-pairing at the 3rd anti-codon position.
Source: RNAcentral